UACGUAGGGGGCAAGCGUUGUCCGGCUUUAUUGGGCGUAAAGAGCGUGUCGGCGGCCAUUCAGGUCAGCUGUGAAAACUCGAGGCUCAACCUCGAGACGUCGGUUGAAACCGUUUGGCUAGAGUCCGGAAGAGGAGAGUGGAAUUCCCGGUGUAGCGGUGAAAUGCGCAGAUAUCGGGAAGAACACCCGUGGCGAAGGCGGCUCUCUGGGACGGUACUGACGCUGAGGCGCGAAAGCGUGGGGAGCAAACAGG
RNAcentral lists this ribosomal RNA (253 nucleotides) under uncultured bacterium. Its description in RNAcentral is "partial 16S ribosomal RNA". It matches the Rfam family "Bacterial small subunit ribosomal RNA", at positions 524 to 776 of the family's 1533-position model. The record is from RNAcentral.